ACUCCUACGGGAGGCAGCAGUGGGAAUAUUGCGCAAUGGGCGAAAGCCUGACGCAGCGACGCCGUGUGAGUGAUGAAGGCCCUCGGGUCGUAAAGCUCUGUCAGGGGGGACGGAAACCAUCCACGAGUUAAUAUCUCGUGGACUUGACGGUACCUCCAAAGGAAGCACCGGCUAACUCCGUGCCAGCAGCCGCGGUAAUACGGAGGGUGCGAGCGUUGUUCGGAAUUACUGGGCGUAAAGCGCGUGUAGGCGGCUUUUUAAGUCUGGUGUGAAAUCCCGGGGCUCACCCCGC
RNAcentral lists this ribosomal RNA (292 nucleotides) under uncultured bacterium. Its description in RNAcentral is "partial 16S ribosomal RNA". It matches the Rfam family "Bacterial small subunit ribosomal RNA", at positions 335 to 618 of the family's 1533-position model. The record is from RNAcentral.